RNAcentral lists this microRNA (22 nucleotides) under Heliconius melpomene (postman butterfly). RNAcentral's name for it is "Hme-Mir-927-P2_3p* (star (passenger))". The record is from RNAcentral. Lineage: Eukaryota; Metazoa; Arthropoda; Insecta; Lepidoptera; Nymphalidae.
CAAAACGAACUGAUUCUUUAGU